UGUGAAAGGCAUGAAGAGCUGUUAUGUGGUAUUUCAAAGCCUGUAUUACUGGUGUAUCCCUGCACUCACCUCCAAGAUGAAAUUGCUAUUCUGCUCUUGCUUGGAAAAAGUCAUAAUUCAGGAUUGCUGGUUUGGCCCUGUUCCUUCUGAUUCAGCUUUCAUGGGUAAAAAUUCACUGCUACAGCAGCUAUGGGAGUGAAGGGGAUCGGACUUGGUGUUCUCUCCUAGGCCCUCUCGUUCAGUGUACAGAGGUCCUAUGGAGAUGAAGAAGAAGGAGUACAGAGGAAAUUCAGGGCAGCAAAAGGCAGGGUAAGGACUGAAGUGUCUUCCAGAGUGUGAUGGAAAGAACAGCACCAAUCCUAAAAGCAAAGGAACAAACAGCUGCUUUAGCAGAAGUAGGUCCUGUCUAUAUCAGGAAAGAUCUGCAGAUUACAGCAGGAAUUAACCACAGCUUUCCCAAAAGCUCUCACGUGACUUGAGUCCAAGCUGGAUUCGGGAUGCUGCAAAGCUGUCAGGAUGCUGCAAAAGACAUUGUUGCAUCUUCUUACUGAAGAGUUGGAGAAGUUUCUCGGUGUGCAGGGAAUACAACAUUUAUGGACAGGAAAGUGGUUUCCUUGAUUUGUGGUUUUCUUGUUGCUGGUCUUUGUUAAAGGGUUUAACACUCUUAGAUCCAGGAAACUGAAACUAGAUGUGAACAGGGUUGGAGGGAGGAGGCAGGGAGAAUCCCAUAUAAGAUUCAAAUUUGUCUGAUUUCUGGGGAAACUAAAUAAAGCCGGAUUCAAUUGCCAGUGGCUAAAUAACAGUCAUUUAUGAGCUGUUCAUCAAAAGCCCCAGUCAAGCACUGAGUACUGUUGGAAGCUGGAAAUUGACACUGGGCACCUCCAAAAGACUCCAUUGUUGAAACUUACUUUAAACAUUUUUUCAAGUGGAGCAUUUAGUCCUGGCAAAUGCAUAAGGUCAGCCCUUAUAAGAAUAAAUAGCUUUCUCUAGAGGAUCUAACAAGUGGCCAAAGUCUGCCCAUUUGUCUGCCUGUCUUUUGAUCUUGGAUUACUGUGCUAUUUAAAACUGUGUUUUCAUAACUCAAGUAAAUGGUAGAUGUUUCACAUAGCUCU
Long non-coding RNA from Melopsittacus undulatus (budgerigar), 1112 nucleotides. RefSeq lists it as uncharacterized. NCBI's taxonomy places the organism in Eukaryota, Metazoa, Chordata, Aves, Psittaciformes, Psittaculidae. The transcript has 3 exons. The record is from RefSeq and is a predicted model, not a curated record.